This 148-nucleotide non-coding RNA is filed under the name Pan paniscus (pygmy chimpanzee). The record is from Rfam by way of RNAcentral. RNAcentral also lists the same sequence under 1 other name. Lineage: Eukaryota; Metazoa; Chordata; Mammalia; Primates; Hominidae.
GCUGGGCGUGGUGGCGCGUGCCUGUAGUCCCAGCUACUCAGGAGGCUGAGGCAGGAGAAUUGCUUGAACCCAGGAGGCAGAGGUUGUAGUGAGCCGAGAUCGCACCACUGCACUCCAGCCUGGGUGACAGAGCAAGACUCAGUCUCAA